AGAAAACUCAGCCAGACGUCAUAGGACGAAAGGGAGACCACAACCAGACACCAAAUAGGACGUCUACUGGGCAUUCUGGCUGGGAAGUCAACCAGACAUUAAUGAAUGACUGGGAAUAGGGUAUACAAUCAGACGUCAUCGGACGAAUGAGAAAAACACAACGUUUAUCGAAACCAACGGGGAGGUAAAUCCACUUGGGGAAGGGUACAACUAGAUGUCAUAGGACGAAUAGGAAAA
This 237-nucleotide long non-coding RNA is filed under the name Lathyrus oleraceus (garden pea). RNAcentral's name for it is "Pisum sativum (pea) long non-coding RNA (PSAT_LNC034595)". The record is from RNAcentral. Lineage: Eukaryota; Viridiplantae; Streptophyta; Magnoliopsida; Fabales; Fabaceae.